This 582-nucleotide ribosomal RNA is filed under the name Saccharomyces cerevisiae (brewer's yeast). RNAcentral's name for it is "eukaryotic LSU rRNA". It matches the Rfam family "Eukaryotic large subunit ribosomal RNA", at positions 75 to 664 of the family's 3401-position model. The record is from RNAcentral. Lineage: Eukaryota; Fungi; Ascomycota; Saccharomycetes; Saccharomycetales; Saccharomycetaceae.
UUGCCUUAGUAACGGCGAGUGAAGCGGCAAAAGCUCAAAUUUGAAAUCUGGUACCUUCGGUGCCCGAGUUGUAAUUUGGAGAGGGCAACUUUGGGGCCGUUCCUUGUCUAUGUUCCUUGGAACAGGACGUCAUAGAGGGUGAGAAUCCCGUGUGGCGAGGAGUGCGGUUCUUUGUAAAGUGCCUUCGAAGAGUCGAGUUGUUUGGGAAUGCAGCUCUAAGUGGGUGGUAAAUUCCAUCUAAAGCUAAAUAUUGGCGAGAGACCGAUAGCGAACAAGUACAGUGAUGGAAAGAUGAAAAGAACUUUGAAAAGAGAGUGAAAAAGUACGUGAAAUUGUUGAAAGGGAAGGGCAUUUGAUCAGACAUGGUGUUUUGUGCCCUCUGCUCCUUGUGGGUAGGGGAAUCUCGCAUUUCACUGGGCCAGCAUCAGUUUUGGUGGCAGGAUAAAUCCAUAGGAAUGUAGCUUGCCUCGGUAAGUAUUAUAGCCUGUGGGAAUACUGCCAGCUGGGACUGAGGACUGCGACGUAAGUCAAGGAUGCUGGCAUAAUGGUUAUAUGCCGCCCGUCUUGAAACACGGACCUCCU